CCCUAGUACGGCGAGUGAAAGGGAAAAGCUCACAUCGAAAUCUCAGCCUUGAGCUGUCGGGAACUGUGGUGUAUAGGAAACCUACUUGUCGGCUUGUUCGGGUACCCAAAUCCUCCUGAUCGUGGCCUCUCCCCCCCGGGGUGUCAUGCCCAUAGAAGCACCCCACCGCCUCGGCUUGUAUCUUCCUCGAAUUCGGGUUGUUUGGGAAUGCAUCCCAAAGUGGGUGGUAAACUCCAUCUGAAGCUAAAUACUGCCACAAGUCCGAUAGCAAACAAUUACCGUGAGGGAAGAUUGAAAAAAACUUUGGAAAGAGAGA
This 316-nucleotide ribosomal RNA is filed under the name Unio pictorum (painter's mussel). Its description in RNAcentral is "partial large subunit ribosomal RNA". It matches the Rfam family "Eukaryotic large subunit ribosomal RNA", at positions 78 to 388 of the family's 3401-position model. Lineage: Eukaryota; Metazoa; Mollusca; Bivalvia; Unionida; Unionidae. The record is from RNAcentral.